This 4926-nucleotide long non-coding RNA is filed under the name Solanum tuberosum (potato). RNAcentral's name for it is "long non-coding RNA (STUB_LNC009829)". The record is from RNAcentral. Lineage: Eukaryota; Viridiplantae; Streptophyta; Magnoliopsida; Solanales; Solanaceae.
UCCGUUUCUGUUGUUAUAAGAACUUGUUCCUUGUCCAGCAGGCUUAAAGUCUCUUCCUCUAGAAUUGAAAUUAUUGCUUCCUCUUCUUUGAGAGUAGUUUCCUCUUCCCUUGCCUCUUUGGGCAGAGAAUGUCAUGUUAUGGUUUUGUUAAGGCACUUCUUCUUCAUCCUUCCUCAUAUCAAAACCCAUGAGAGCAUUAACACAUUGAUUAAGAGUAGGAUAUGGUGUCUUACCUAGCAUGACAGUCCUGAAGGUCUUGUACUUAAGACCUAGACCUCUAGCAAAAUUAAUCACUUUGCUAUCUUCAUCUACAGGCUUGUGAAUGGUUAUAAGGCCAUCACAUAUGUCUUUGAAUUCCUUAAUAUAUUCGUCAAUUGUUUUGGUUCCUAGCUUCACACUUUACAGUUGUUGUUUGAGCUGUAACUCCGUAUCUUUUGUUGCUUGAAGAUAAGCUUCUUCCAAGCAUUCCCGCAUCUCCUUGGCAGUUGAGCAGCCUACAAUCAAGUACAUGCUUUCUUUUGAGAUCCAAAUCCUUAGCAACACAUCAUUCUCCUCCCAGUUAUCAACAAUGUUACUGUCUUCUGCACCCUUCUCGCCUGCUACAACUUUCUCAGUAAUCUGUCUAGUGGAACAUGUAUCUUUAGGUGGUUCUGUGAGGAGGUAAGUUAAUUUCAUCACAUGAAUCAACUGAGACAUUUGUGUCCUCCAUAUAAGAUAGUUCGUUGGCUUAAGUCUAAUGGAGCAGGACGAAAUAAGAUGAUGAAGUGAAGAGUUCAAAAGAGUGUUGGUAGAAGGGGCCAUUGCGGUUCAAUAUUUUGGUUGUUUUGGUUUUGAUCUAAUACGUUAAAGAGCGGAAAAGCUUUAUUGCUCUGAUACCAUGUAGAAUUCUCACAUAAGUAUGGAAAAAUCAAGGAUUGUAUUGAUGAUUAUAAUGUAAAGUUACAAGUUCCUUAUAUAGGAGAAGAGUCAUAUUCUAGUUAUACUAGGAAUCCUACUACAACACAAUUAUUUACAUGAGUAGUAUUGUAUUACAAGUCAAAUACCUUAUCCUAGUCGACUCCUACAAUAUUCAGUAGCUUAGUCCUACAUGUUCCAUCAGUCUUCAAGCUUCCUUCAACAAAUAAUUGAUAGGUUGAUUUUUUUUAGUCUAUUUUAAAAAUCUAAGAAUAGAAUUUAGAAAGAUUUUGAAAAUUCAAUUUUUUUUAUAUAUCAUAUAUUCAUUCAUAUCCAUAAGAUAUGUGUUCAAUACUUAAGGGUACAUGGAUCGAAUUGGUUCCGAAUUUUCAAAUACCAAAUCAAAAAAAAUUGUGUGAAAUUUUUAAACCAAAUCAAAAUAAUAAAAUUUAAAUUUUUCAACCUCAGGUUUUUGAGUUUUUUCAGUAAAGUAUUCAUACAAACAUAUAAUUAAAUUAUGCUUCAAAUAUUAUUUAGUCCUACUAAAAUAUAACCAUAUAAGGUGUUUUAUUAAAGAAAAUAACACAAAAUAGGAUAUGAGUGAUGACAUUAAAAUCGUAACCGUCCUAUGGCUCUUGACUCUAGUGACUUUAGUCCAUAUUAACGAUAGAAAAUUAUACGAAACAAACUAUUAGGUGAACUUUGAGGUUGUCAAUUGUAUCGCCUUAAAAGCUCAAAAGUCAAAAUAGAAAAUUUCAAAAAUAUUUAAAUCGAUUAAUUCAAUAUCAAACUUAAAAAGUCUAAUUAAUUCGAACUUAUAUUUAAGGUAGUUUUGUUGAAGUGUGUGACUAUCUCAUCUAAAAACUUAAGCUGUUAGAGAAACCACACUUUUAUUAUUAAAUUAUAUUCUCAACAAGUUUCGAUCAAAAAUUCAAAUCAAACUAUUCCUAUUAAAUUCGAAUGUCCACGCACCCCUACUUGAUACUAGUCAAAAUUGGAGACAAAUUCCUAGCAUAUCACGAAGAUUAAUGUGAAUGGAAUAAAUAAAUUCCAGAUAAGAGAGUAUGUAAUAUAAUUUGGGUUGGUGGGACUAUAUGUUGGAUCUUUCCACUUUCAUCUUUGAGUAGUCGAAGACUAACGCCACCAUCAUACGAAUAUUAAACUUUUGUUUAAUAUAUAAAUUUAUAUAAAAUACUAUUCCUUUUUUAUCCGCUUCACAAAAAUGUUGUCAACACCCCUUUCCCAAGCUAUUAAGAAAUCCCAGCAUAUUUUGUUGGAAAAGUUAAAAGAGAAAUCUCACUAUUUUAGGAGCUAAUUAUUUGGAUAUAUUUUAGUUUGCAAUAUUAAGAAUCUUAUCAGAUUUUGAUGCGUUCAAAUACAUGUAUCUCGAAAUACAUGGGGUCAAAAUCAGGUAUAAUUUAUUUUAGAUAAACUACAUCCAAGUAGAUAUACAUAAUGAAUCUCGUUCGUCCUCCUCCCAUCUCACUCGCUACUCUCCUAUGUAUAUGGUAUCCCAGAUAAAGAUACAUUUAUCUAGUAUGUAUCUAGUGUGAUUUGCAUGAAUCUGGAAUACAUGACUAUCUCAUUCGCCUCUCUCCCUAAUUUAGUGUAUCUGGUAACACAAGUACAUGUAUCUAGGUAUAUCUUCCUCAAUAUAUGGUGGGAGACUAUUAAUACGUAAUUAUUUGAAAAUAUAAGAAAACUGAAUAUAUAUGAUAUGGAUAUGAUAUAGAGGAUGACACUCAUUUUUCCAGAUAGUUGGUAAAUCGUGGAAGUUGAUCUCAAAUUUAACCAUUGAUCGCUAACGGGGAUGAACACUAUGUUUUCUUUGUUCUAUUUAAAAAAAAAAGUAUGUUUAUCUUAUAAUACGCAAUAUGCUAUAUUCAAUUUUUCUCUUAUAAGAAAAGGGAGAUUCCCCUUUCGACAACAUGUUUAAUUGUUACUCUAAGGUGGUGAUUAAAAUAGCAACCAUUUUCAUUCAUAAGAGAAUUUUCUACAAGUUCUAUUCACGUUUCAAUUUUUUUCAGUAAAUUCACUCCACAUAACUAAUAUCAACAUUACUAAUAUACAAUAUUGACAACUAUUUUUGUACACCCUACCAAACGUCUUAGUGUUGAAUUUUUUUUUAAUUUUAAAAUAGUAAUACCAUGAUUUUCUCCAUACACAGAGAGGUAGACAAGAUGAAAAAAAUGAAAGGUAACCAACCAAGAUAGUUGUAAGUGAAUCCAAGAAACUCUUCAUGCCAAUAAGAUCACUCUACUACAAUGACUAAUCAGUAUUGUCUAACACUUGGUUGCAUUCAUUAACUUAGAAAAUGCACUUGAUUAAUAAACUAACCAAAAGGAGGAUGUCAAACCAGUUGGUCAUAUGAUGAUUGAGGCCAUUAUAAAGCCAAUGGAACUAACUUGUACAUAUUUAGGUCAACCAGACAACUAAUUGACUCAAGGUUCUACAAUUUUCAUGUCUAAAGAUUAUAUCCUUUUGAGAAGAUAGCCCAGAAGGAUUCCCACCAAUGCAAUGACCAGAACAUAUACAGUUGGGAUACCACCACGACUUCUGUUACGUUCCCGUCUCAAGAGCUCCUGCAUAGGGCAAAGCUCAACAAGUUUUAAAGACGAAAUUCAAAAGGUGAUACUUUAGCUUCUUGGAGCUAGAGUAGGCAAAGGCCAUUAAUUUCAACGCAAUUAGUUGAACUCGAAACUUCAAAAACACAACCCAGCCUGACCCUUCUUUGUUUGACACAAAGGGAGAGAUGUUGGGUAUAUAUAUAAGAAAUAAGUGUUAGACCCUAGCGACGUGUUUUGAGGUCUGGGGGCCUAGGCAUAAAGUGGACAACAUGUGGGCUGAGCUGUUACACUGAUAGCAUUGCAAUAAGUUUCAAGUAGAAAAAUCGAACAUUCUUACUUAUUGUCAUGAUUUGUAUUUUCAAAUGUAUAUAACGUAAGUACUAGACAUCAACACUAUGAUUGACAUAACUUUCUAUCUCUUAAGAGAACUGAAGAUAACAACUUGCUCAAUAAACAAAACUAAUAUAAGCAGGUCCAUUAAAAGCCUAACCUAGAAUGUGGGACUGCUGAGUUCAUUCUGCCUAUGCAAACAGCAAUGCACUGCAUUUUUUAUUGUAUCCUUUUCUCUACCCAAAAGCAUAUCAGGCUAAUCAUGGCCCUUUUUCUUCCUAUCCUUAUCACUUUCUACCACCUCAAUCAAUGAAAUGACAUGUGGAGUGGGCAGCAAUUUAUGAAGAAAUGGAUAUCAAUAGAGAACAACUCGUUAGAAUUCACAAGGAAAAAGUCAGGUAAGAGGCGGGAGGCUUGUCCAAGAAAAAUGACACCAAUGUCAAGAAGAUAGCAAAAGUGUUUGACCUCAACAAAUCAUUUCUUUGCACACACCUGACCAUUGGAACUAUUUAGAUACUUCCAAUACUCUGACAACAUUAACAGGAAGAGGCACAUUUCACAGAGCAAUUGUAUUAUCCCCAAAUCCCAAAGCCAGACAACCUCUGCUUGCGAACCAACCAGUAAAUGCAGUUUAUGUCCUCCUUCCUUUGUGUUAUGUAUUUAUUUAUUUUUUUGAUUAGUUCUAUGUUUAAAAUUUCUUAUCAUUGUGCAAUUGAGUUCAGCAAUUUUCUCCAGUACAAUCCACGUCUCUAACUUUUAGAAAGAAAUGAAUGAUCAUGUGAAAUUGUCAAUGUUUUUUCCUUUGGUUUCCCACCCGGUGUCCGGAGCCCACAUUGGAGCUCCGACUAAAUCCGGAUCGCGCUCUGCAGGGCCCAUUCGGGGGUGGCGCUCCCAACAGGAUUUUCUCCAUACCCAGCGCUCGAACCCGAGACCUCUGGUUAAGGGUGAAGCACUCCCACCAGUGUACCACAACCCAUGUUGGUUGAAAUUGUCAAUGUGCCCGUAAGUAGUGGUGAGAAGUAAAUUAAUUUUUUGAGAAGGGAGUAAGCAAGUCGUAGAAUAUUUCAUAUAUAAGAUCCCCCCUUACCAAUUCUUGCUGAAGCUUGUUAUUUUGUUGCACAACAGAAAUUUUCUC